UGCUCUACAUUUCCUGGUUGAUCCUGCCGGACCUGACUGCUAUCGGAUUGGUACUAAGCCAUGCGAGUCGUUGUAGCAAUACAAGGCGGACUGCUCAGUAACACGUAGUUAACUUAACCUAUGGAUGGGCAUAACCUCGGGAAACUGAGAAUAAUACCCAAUGGACCACAGUGCCUGGAAUGGCCUGUGGUUGAAAUGAUUUAUCGCCGUAGGAUAGGACUGCGGCCUAUCAGCUUGUUGGUGAGGUAAUGGCCCACCAAGGCUAUAACAGGUACGGGCUCUGAGAGGAGGGGCCCGGAGAUGGGUACUGAGACACGGACCCAGGCCCUAUGGGGCGCAGCAGGCGAGAAACCUUUGCAAUGUGCGAAAGCACGACAAGGUUAAUCCGAGUGUCUCCUGCUAAAGGAGUCUUUUGUCAGUUGUAGAAUCACUGGUGAAUAAGGGGUGGGCAAGUUCUGGUGUCAGCCGCCGCGGUAAAACCAGCACCUCGAGUGGUCAGGAGGUUUAUUGGGCCUAAAGCAUCCGUAGCCGGUUGCAUAAGUUUUCGGUUAAAUCUAUGCGCUUAACGUAUAGGCCGCCGAAAAUACUGUGCAGCUAGGGAGUGGGAGAGGUACACGGUACUCGAUAGGAAGGGGUAAAACCUUUGAUCUUUGAAGACACUGUGGGAAGCGUGUCCGACCGUCGAGGGAGGAUGAAGC
Molecule: ribosomal RNA, 698 nt
Filed under: uncultured archaeon
Lineage: Archaea
Description: bacterial SSU rRNA
Rfam family: Archaeal small subunit ribosomal RNA
Source: RNAcentral